This 5768-nucleotide long non-coding RNA is filed under the name Sus scrofa (pig). RNAcentral describes it as "lncRNA (ENSSSCG00000058742.1)". Lineage: Eukaryota; Metazoa; Chordata; Mammalia; Artiodactyla; Suidae. The record is from RNAcentral.
UUCCGUUAGCUUCCUCAGCAUACUUACAAAUGAAUGGAUGGUGCUUUUUUAGUGCCCCAGGGUCUUCCAUCACUUCUAAUCGCAGAGCAAAAAAAAAAAAAAAAUGAUAGUUCCAGUAUCCCCAUUAAUUCAUUAGUUAACUCUGCAUUAUUCCAUUAAGUGCUGCCAAGGAAUUGCUGUCAGUUACGCAGUUUUCUUUUUUCUUUUUCUCUAAUAUACAGAGCUGACCUAAAUAAUAUAUGCUUUUCAUCAGAUAAUACUGACCUGCAAGAGAGGUUUUGUCCCCAGACCGAGAGACCAGACUUUCAAUGUUGGUAGCAGUAGAUCUUACAGUGAUGAAACCAAAAAUGUUUUUCUGAGAAUAAUGAUAAAACCAUUCAUUUCUACUGAGGGCUGUUCGCACUGAUAGAUGGUCAAAUACAAGAAGCAGACUAAAUGGAUGAUCCUGGCAUUACUGCUUCUGACUCUUUUUUUUUAACUUUAAUGUUUUUGUAUACAGACUGUAGGUAUGGACAGGUGCCAGGCUGCAUUGAAUUUUCCUAGGCCUCCUGCAAUUUCAGUUGUUAGUUUUAUGUACUAGUUCUUAAAGGAAAAGAUAUCUUUCUAUAUGCAGAUAUGGUGCUUCAACUUGAUAAUAUGGCUGCUGCUUUCUAAGUAGUGUAAUGGUGUAUUUAAUGAGAUAUGCAGGUUAACUGAAAUUUAUAGUAAUUGAAACCUUCCUAAAAAUUGUUAUAAUUCCUUACCUUAAUAAAUUAUAUUUAGUGUAUUUAUCUUCCUUUGAUUUAUCUGGAUUUUGUCAUGCUUUGGAUAUAAAGAAUCAUUUAUAAUUCUAUUAUAAUAUAUAUGCAUAUACAGAGGGAGAAAGUAAUUUCUCUCUCUUUAUUUCCAGGAUCUAGCCCAGAAUUGUAUUUAAAAUAAUAGCUAAAACCUUUUUUUUGGUCUGUUUGUUUUCAUUUGGUUGUCUCUAAUCCAAAGGCUGAGUACUGCCCCAAAUUCAGUUUCAAUGAGAAUUUAGUUAUUUGAGAUUUUAAAAUCACUGUUGAUCUUUUUUCCAAUUUCAAUUGGAAGUCAUACAUUUUAACAGGAUAUGCUUAAGUUGCUGACUAAGCCAAGCAAAUGAUUGUCCCCUGAGUUCUAGAAAGCAAAUAUUUUUAAACAAAAUCCUAAGUUAUAUUACAGAUAAAUUAGAUUUUAAUUUAUCUGCUGGUUGAAUGCUAUAAUCAUCUCCAGUCUUUCUCCUAACUCUUCAUUCAUUGUUCAGGCAAUGAAUAUUUAUCAAGUGUCUACAACCUGUCAGAUAGCAUGUGAGAUGCUAGGGAAUGUACUUAUAAGCCUAGUGAGGCAUCAGGCAGGGAUUCUCUGUUCACCAUUACUGGCUGAUAGAAUCAAGGCUAGAUUACAAGUUCAUUGUUCUCACUUAAUAAAAAAGCAAAAUUUUAGCAGCCUUCUUGAGACAUUCAAGCUCUCUGGCUGCAAAAGUUUGCAGAAGGCUUCAGCAGAUGAUGGUGUGAAAUUGAUGGUUUUCAAACUCUAGCAUGCCUAGAAUUAUUGCAGGGCUUGUUAAAACACUCAUUGCUGGGCUCCACCCAAAGGCUCUGAUGCUGUAGGUCUGGGGUUGGAGAUGGAGGGAGGGGGAUUUCAUUUCUAAGAAGUUCCCAAGUUUGCAGAUGAUGUCGUUUGGGGGGCUACACUUUGAGAACCACUACUCUAAAGUAUUUUCUUCCUUAAUAGACCCUCCUUCUGGUGACCAUGAUGACGUUAAUAGUAAUAAAGAUAGAAUAGCUCACACCUAAUGAUUUCUUGUGAUGUCAGGUACUUUGACCUUUACAUCUGUCAUGACAUUGAGUUCUUACACAAUUUAACGAAAUAGUUGUGGUUACUGGCCUCAUUUUACAGGUGAGGAAAUAAACAUUUGAAAAGGUUAAUUAAAUUGCCCAAUGUCAUAGAGCUAGUAAGUGAGCAAGGCCAGGAUUUGAACUUAAAUCUUUCUGACAGCACCAGGCCCUCUGCCUUCCUAUGCUGACCAACACCCCUGGGCAGUGACAGUGCAACCAUAUUCCCUUUGGGAGGCACUAAAGAGAGGUCUGUUGUUCUUGUCUCCGUGUGUGCCUGCACCUUGGGGAUUCUGAGUGGAUGGCCCUGUGGGGUCUCAUGGGAAAAAGAUAACAGGACUUCCUUUAGUAAUUUAUUCUAGUGGCUAAUAAGCUUUUUGCGAUGGGAAAUUUUCUUUUUAAUUGGAUAAAAUAUUUCCGUUUUACAGAUUUUAAAAGCUUUUAAAUCAUCAAGAAUUAGAUAACUGUAGCACUAGCAUGCCCAGUUGAAUUGACCACAGCUCUAGAUGAGGCAGGAUUUGACAGUGAGGGCUGGAGUAAGGUCUGCUUUUUCUGAAAGGUCAUUCACCCCUCUCUCCAAUCCUCAUCCAUUUACAGCGCAUUUCAAGAGGUGUCUGUGAAACUAGAUUGAGCUCUCCUGACCUGAGUUAAACUACUUUUUGUGCAUAGUUCCUGACUUAAUAAUUAUUCAGUAUAUUAAUUAAUAAUUCUCUCAAGAGAGUCCAGUGAUCUUUUCAAGUAAGGAAAAUCAAAGAAUGUUCUAGUCAUUCAUCAGCAUCCUGGAAGGGCUACCUUGCUUCCUGCUGUCUUCCCCAACAUUGCUAGGGAAUCCUCCCAUUUCUGAACCUCACAUCAGACUCUUCUCCCACCCACAAAGGGGAGAGAGCCCUUUCAGGUGGGCGAUAUUAUUAUUAUUAUUAUUAUAAAAUAAAACACAGAUACAGAAAACAGCAUAAAACUAUUGGAUGACUUAAUGAAUUAUUCUGAAGUGAACAUUCUUGAAACUACUGCCAAGUCAAGAAAUAGAACUUUGCCACCCACUGUGAUGGUUAAUUUUAUAUGUCAACUUGACUGGGCUAAUGGAUGCCCAGAUAGCUGGUAAAACAUGAUGUAUUUCUGACCAUGUCUGUGAGGGUGCCUCUGGAAGAAAUUAGUAUUUGAAUCAAUGGCCUGAGUGAAGAAGAUUGCCCUUAUCAAAUUCAUUUUAAUAAUUUGAUAUGAACUUUCCUACACUGUUGGUGGGAAUGUAAAUUGGUGCAGCCACUACAGGGGACAGCAUGGAAGUGCCUUGAAAAACUAAAAAUAGUUACCAUAUGAUCCAACAGUCCCAUUUCUGGGCAUAUAUCUGGAGAAAAAUAUAAUCUGAAAAGAUACAUGCACCCCUGUGUUCAUAGCAGCGCUAUUUACAAUAACCAAGACAUGGAAACAACUAAAUGUCCAUCGACAGAGGAAUGGAUAAAGAAGAUGUGGUGUGUGUGUGUGUGUGUGUGUGUAUACAUAUGUGUGUGUGUAUAUAUAUAUGUAUAUAUAUAUAUAUAUAUAUGCGCACAAUGAAAUACUACUCAUCUAUAACAAAGAAUGAAAUAAUGUCAUUUGCAGGAAUAUGGGUGGACCUAGAGAUUAUCACACUAAGUGAAGUAAGUCAAAAAGAGAAGGACAAAUACCAUAUUAUAUCACUUACAUGUGGAAUCUAAAAAAAAAAAGAUAAAAAGGAACUUAUUUACAAAACAAAUAUAUACUCACAGACAUAGAAAAGAAAUAUAUGGUUACCAAAGGGGGUUGUAGGGAGCAAGGGAGAUAAAUUAGGAGUUUGGGCUUAACAUAUACCCAGAAACAGACUUGCAGUCCUAGAGAACAGACUUGUGGUUGCCAAGAGGGAGAGGGACAGAGGAGGGUUGGAUUCGGGGUUUAGGAUUAGCAGAUGCAAACCAUGAUUUUUAGAAUGGUUAAACAACAAGAUCCUACUGUAUAGCACAGGGAACUAUAUUCAAUAUCCUGUGAUAAACCAUAAUGGAAAAGAAAAAGAAAUCUGAUGUGUCUUUAAGUCUCUUUUAGCUUACAGGUUCCCUCUCUGUACCUUUAUUUUCCUUAAAAUUUAUGUAGGAGAAUCCAGACCAUUUGACCUCUAGAAUGUCCCGAAACCUGGCAUCAUACAAUCCAUUCAGAGCCUGAAUAGCACAAAAAGACAGAGGAAGGGCAACUUUGCUCUCUGGUUAAGCUAAGAUGUCUAUCUCCUCCUGCCCUAGGACAUCCAAGCUCCUGGUUCUCAGGCUUUGGGACUCAGACCAGAACUUAUACCCUCAGUCCCUGGGUUCUCAUGCCUUCAGACUCAGACUGGGUUACACCACUGGCUUUCCUGUUUGCUAGCUUGCAGAUGGCAGAACGUGGGACUUCUUGGCCUCCACAAUCAUGUGAGUCAAUUCCUGUAAUAAAUCUAUGUAUCUAUAUAUAUGCGUGUAUGUAUCUAUAUGUAUGUAUCUAAAUAUAUCCUGUUGAUUCUGUUUCUCUGAAGAACCCUGAAUAAUACCCCCACCCGGAAGUCCCCUACCUUCCCCACAAAAGUAACCAUAGUCUGAAUUUAUUGUAAUCACCUAGCUGCAUUUUUUUAUUGGUCACCUGCAUAUGUGCGUCCUUAGCACUAUAGUUUGGCUUUGGUCAUUUAAAAAAUUUCACGUGUCUUUAAGUCUCUUUUAACUUCUCUAUCUCUUUUUUUUCCCCUAAAAUCUAUAUGGAAGAAUCCAGGCCAAUUGACAUUUAGUGUUUCCCCAAAUCUGGCUUGGGCUGAUUGCAGUCUCUUGGUGCAAAUGCAGCAUGGACCCCUGUCCUCUUUAUUUCCUGAAAAUUGGCAACUGGUUCCAGACACUAGAUCAGACUCCUUUUGGCAAGAUUCUAGGUGGUAUUUGGCAAGAUCAGAGGAGGUACACAAUAUCUAGUUGUCCCUCUUUUUAUGAUAGGAUCAAUUUUGUAGCUUAAUUUCUAUAUAUUUUAACUCACUAGAGUUCCAGAAUGAUGCUAUCUGAAUUCUAUCCUUUCUUUCCAUUUAUUACUUAGAAUACAUUAAUAAAGAGACACUUCAUUUCGUGCUGAUUACUUAAAGGUGUAGUUCAUGUAGGGAAAGAAGGAUGAAUGCUCGGUUCUUUCUCUUUAUUUACUAAUUCUCAUGAAUUAGUUCCUUGUCAUACUUCAGUUCCAUUUUUCAAAAGAUCAUUUAAGAACUUAUGGGUUUAAACAUACUUACAGGCUUAAAUACAUUUGCCUUUAUUAUCAUUACUGAAGCUCACAUUAUCACAUCUAUCUCAAAUUAUCAGUUAUACCUAGAAUCUACCAUUCCUCUAAUGAGCCUCAGGUUCUUCUAGUGAGAAAUUACAUUUUAAAACCAUACCUGGUGCUAGGAUGCUCAUUGCUACUGGAUCAGUCUGUGUUUCUAGGCCUUUUCAGUGGACAGAGCUAGGAAAGGUAUAUGUCUGUAGAUUUAUAUGUGUAUAGUUUGCAUCUGCUCUUUCCCCCAUUUUUAAAUAGUUGCACUUUGUGUAUAGGAUGUCUUAGCCCUCGCAUAGUCUUUGUUCCACAGGUAAAACACAUCACAUGUAGUAUCUACCAUCAGGUCAAGGCCACCCUAGUCAUCUUGGCUGCCUGAGGCUGAUUCUCACAAGAGGGUCUUAGGAAUAGUAGGCUGAGUCCUUGGAGGUUGCUAAGUUUGUCCAGGCCCUUUAUAGUUGAAAAUGCUGGAUAUUCAAUCCUUGAUUCAUACUUUCUUUCUUUGACUAUCUUAAAUAUGUUACCUCAUUUCCUUCUGGGAAAAAGCAUCACUGUGGUAAAAACAACAACAACAACAACAAAAAACCAAAACCUAGUGGUGGGAGUUCCCUUGUGGCCUAGCACUUAAGUAUCCAGAGUUGUCAGUGCUGUGGCUUGGGAACUUUUGUAUGUUGUGGG